Molecule: ribosomal RNA, 253 nt
Filed under: uncultured bacterium
Lineage: Bacteria
Description: partial 16S ribosomal RNA
Rfam family: Bacterial small subunit ribosomal RNA
Source: RNAcentral
UACAGGGGGGGCAAGCGUUGUUCGGAAUUACUGGGCGUAAAGGGCUCGUAGGUGGCCAACUAAGUCAGACGUGAAAUCCCUCAGCUUAACUGGGGAACUGCGUCUGAUACUGGAUGGCUUGAGUUUGGGAGAGGGAUGCGGAAUUCCCGGUGUAGCGGUGAAAUGCGCAGAGAUCGGGAGGAACACCCGUAGCGAAGGCGGCACUCUGGGCCGGUACUGACGCUGAGGAGCGAAAGCGUGGGGAGCAAACAGG